GCCUUCGUGGUGUAAAGGUAGCACCCUCCGCUCUUAAUUGAGAGAUCCAGGUUCGAGUCUCGGCGAGAGCA
This 71-nucleotide transfer RNA is filed under the name Stegodyphus mimosarum. It matches the Rfam family "tRNA". From Rfam's summary of the family: Transfer RNA (tRNA) molecules are approximately 80 nucleotides in length. Their secondary structure includes four short double-helical elements and three loops (D, anti-codon, and T loops). The record is from Rfam by way of RNAcentral. Lineage: Eukaryota; Metazoa; Arthropoda; Arachnida; Araneae; Eresidae.